RNAcentral lists this ribosomal RNA (460 nucleotides) under uncultured bacterium. RNAcentral's name for it is "partial 16S ribosomal RNA". It matches the Rfam family "Bacterial small subunit ribosomal RNA", at positions 338 to 795 of the family's 1533-position model. The record is from RNAcentral.
GCUACGGGAGGCAGCAGUGAGGAAUAUUGGUCAAUGGACGAGAGUCUGAACCAGCCAAGUAGCGUGAAGGAUGACUGCCCUAUGGGUUGUAAACUUCUUUUAUAAAGGAAUAAAACGAGGCACGUGUGCCUUUUUGCAUGUACUUUAUGAAUAAGGAUCGGCUAACUCCGUGCCAGCAGCCGCGGUAAUACGGAGGAUCCGAGCGUUAUCCGGAUUUAUUGGGUUUAACGGGAGCGUAGAUGGGUUGUUAAGUAAGUUGUGAAAGUUUGCGGCUCAACCGUAAAAUUGCAAUUGAUACUGGCAGUCUUGAGUACAGUUGAGGUAGGCGGAAUUCGUGGUGGAGCGGUGAAAUGCUUAGAUAUCACGAAGAACCCCGAUUGCGAAGGCAGCUUACUAAACUGUGACUGACAUUGAUGCUCGAAAGUGUGGGUAUCAAACAGGAUUAGAUACACUGGUAGUC